UGCCAGCAGCCGCGGUAAUACGGAGGGUGCAAACGUUGCUCGGAAUCACUGGGCGUAAAGGGUGCGUAGGCGGCCCUAUAAGUCAGGCGUGAAAGCCCUCGGCUCAACCGAGGAAUUGCGCUUGAAACUGUAGGGCUUGAGUUCGGUAGAGGGAAGCGGAAUUCCUGGUGUAGCGGUGAAAUGCAUAGAUAUUACACAGAACACCAAUUGCGAAGGCAGCUUACCAAACUAUUAUUGACGCUGAAGCACGAAAGCGUGGGUAGCGAACAGGAUUAGAUA
RNAcentral lists this ribosomal RNA (279 nucleotides) under uncultured bacterium. Its description in RNAcentral is "partial 16S ribosomal RNA". It matches the Rfam family "Bacterial small subunit ribosomal RNA", at positions 506 to 784 of the family's 1533-position model. The record is from RNAcentral.